This 335-nucleotide unclassified non-coding RNA is filed under the name uncultured fungus. RNAcentral describes it as "sequence contains ITS1". The stretch from base 1 to 103 matches the Rfam family "5.8S ribosomal RNA", at positions 50 to 154 of the family's 154-position model. Lineage: Eukaryota; Fungi. The record is from RNAcentral.
GAAAUGCGAUACGUAAUGCGAAUUGCAAAUCUAAGUGAGUCAUCAAAAUUUUGAACGCAACUUGCACUUCCGGGAAGCCGGAAGUAUGUCUGUUGGAGUGUCUGUUCAUCCCCACAGAUAAACUUUACUGUUUAACUGAGUCUGCCGUUAAUCUUAUCCAUUAAUGAGCGUAGAUGAAAUACACAACCGAACUCGCCCCUGCUCUGUUGAGUGUGGACGGCGUGACGUAAUAUCAGAAAUGAUCAUACACCACGCUAACCAUAUUUAGCAUCAAAAGAGCCAUGGUGAGAAUCUGUUCGGACCUCCAAUCAGUCAAGAUUACCCGCUGAAUUUAA